GCCAGGCCUGUAGUCCCAGUUAAUUGGGAGGCUGAGACAGAAGGAUUCCUUGAGCCCAGGAGUUUGAGCUCAGCAUGGGAAACAAAGCCAGACCCUGUAUCUA
This 103-nucleotide small RNA is filed under the name Marmota monax (woodchuck). The record is from RNAcentral. Lineage: Eukaryota; Metazoa; Chordata; Mammalia; Rodentia; Sciuridae.